AAUGAGCGGGAUUCAGGGCACCAGGACCUACCCAGGCGCGGGGGACACCUCUGACCUUAAGUACCCCUUGGGAACCAGGCUCAGGGAAGCUCUCACCGAGGUUCGGUUCCAUCAGCUCUUCGGGGGCGAAGAGCAGGAACCGGAGCUACCUGCAGAGCGCCGCUUUCCCCGGCUCUUCGGGCUGUGGAGGCUGCGGGCUCGCGCUUGUUCCGGGACGGGGGCGUGGCGCCUGCUGCUGGCUCGGCUGCCCCCGCUGCACUGGCUGCCCCAUUACCGCUGGCGGGCCUGGCUGCUCGGAGAUGCGGUGGCCGGAGUGACCGUGGGCAUCGUGCACGUGCCCCAGGGCAUGGCCUUUGCUCUCCUGGCCUCCGUGCCCCCGGUGUUUGGACUCUACACUUCUUUCUUCCCCGUCCUCAUCUACAGCUUGCUGGGUACUGGGAGACACCUGUCCACAGGAACUUUCGCCAUACUCAGCCUCAUGACAGGCUCGGCCGUUGAGCGGCUGGUGCCAGAACCCCUUGUGGGGAACCUGAGCGGAAUCGAGAAGGAGCAGUUGGACGCUCAGCGGGUUGGGGUAGCCGCAGCCGUGGCCUUCGGGAGCGGGGCGCUGAUGCUGGGGAUGUUCGUGCUGCAACUCGGCGUCCUGUCCACCUUUUUGUCCGAGCCUGUGGUCAAGGCGCUGACCAGCGGGGUCGCGCUGCACGUGCUCGUGUCCCAGCUGCCGAGCCUCUUGGGGUUGUCCCUCCCGCGCCAGAUCGGCUGCUUCUCUCUCUUCAAGACGCUGGCCGCCGUGCUGACUGCGCUGCCCCGGAGCAGUCCGGCCGAACUGACCAUCUCGGCGCUCAGCCUGGCGCUGCUCGUGCCGGUCAAGGAAUUGAACGUGAGAUUCCGAGACCGGUUACCCACGCCGAUCCCGGGGGAAGUCGUCAUGGUGCUUCUGGCCUCCAUGCUCUGCUUUGCCUCUUCUCUGGACACAAGAUACCAUGUCCAGAUAGUGGGGUUGUUGCCUGGAGGCACCCAACUCCUCCUCACCAUGGAUCCCUCCCUCUCCAGAUUUCCCCAACCCCUCCUACCCAACCUGGCUGAGCUGCCCAGGAUUCUGGCUGACUCGCUGCCCAUCGCACUGGUUACUUUUGCGGUGUCUGCCUCCCUGGCCUCCAUCUAUGCAGACAAGUAUAGCUACACUAUUGACUCCAACCAGGAGCUCCUGGCACAUGGUGCCUCCAACCUCAUCUCCUCCCUCUUCUCUUGCUUUCCCAACUCGGCUACGCUGGCCACCACCAGUCUACUGGUGGAUGCUGGUGGGAAAACACAGCUGGCAGGCCUCUUCUCCUGCAUAGUGGUCCUGUCGGUGCUGCUGUGGCUGGGGCCCUUCUUUUACUAUCUGCCCAAGGCUGUCCUGGCUUGCAUCAACAUCUCCAGCAUGCGCCAGAUGUUCUUCCAGAUGCAGGAACUUCCACAACUAUGGCACAUCAGUCGUGUGGACUUUGCUGUGUGGAUGGUCACCUGGGUGGCUGUAGUGACCCUGAAUGUGGAUUUGGGCCUGGCUGUGGGUGUAGUCUUCUCCAUGAUGACUGUGGUCUGCCGCACCCGGAGGGUGCAGUGCCUGGCACUUGGACAGGCUGAGGGAACAGAGCUCUACAGGCCACUCAGAGGAAGCCACAAGCUCCUCCAGGUCCCGGGGCUCUGCAUCCUGAGCUAUCCAACACCGCUGUACUUUGGGACCCGUGGGCAGUUUCGCCGCAACCUGGAGUGGCACCUGGGGCUUGGAGAAGAAAAGGAGACUUCAAAGCCAGAUGGCCCAACUGUUGCAGUUGCUGAGCCUGUCAGGGUGGUGGUCCUAGACUUCAGUGGUGUCACCUUUGCAGAUGCUGCUGGGGCCAGAGAAGUGGUGCAGCUGGCCAGCCGAUGUCGAGAUGCUAGGAUCCGCCUCCUCCUGGCUCAGUGUAAUGGGUGACCCCAGAUCAGCUGUUUGUGAGUGUGCAGGAUGCAGCUGCUUAUGCCCUGGGGAGCCUGGUAAGGGGCAGUAGCACCAGGAGCGAGAGCCGGGAAGCACUGGGCUGCGGCAAGUGAGGCAGGGGAACUCACUGACCCAAAGAUUUGCACAGUGUGGGUCUGACCUCAUCAUGUGGAGUGCAGAGGGCCCCGAUGACAUGUGUGUGAUGAGGACCAUGACCUUGAGCUCCCUUACCUAACGUAACUAAUAAAAUGAAGCUGAGAGCUUUGGAAUCCAUGAAGUGAGUCUAGGUGUUUGCACAGGGACUCUGGUGCUCCGUCUUUUGUGCCCACAGCAUUGCAGAGACACAACUAAGAAUGGCUUUCACCAUGUGUUCACCGGCCCUCACCCCAGCCCCACUGCCGCAAGUUAUCUCUGUGGGGGUGGGCCUGGAGCAGGCCAUCACUGGGAGGUCAUGCACUGCAGCCGGUGUUUGAAGAAGAGC
Rhinopithecus roxellana (golden snub-nosed monkey) is the source of this 2441-nucleotide RNA transcript. It is a transcript of the gene named solute carrier family 26 member 10, with no coding region annotated. The record is from RefSeq and is a predicted model, not a curated record. The transcript is spliced from 19 exons. Lineage: Eukaryota; Metazoa; Chordata; Mammalia; Primates; Cercopithecidae.